This 366-nucleotide long non-coding RNA is filed under the name Phoenix dactylifera (date palm). RNAcentral describes it as "long non-coding RNA (PDAC_LNC020308)". The record is from RNAcentral. Lineage: Eukaryota; Viridiplantae; Streptophyta; Magnoliopsida; Arecales; Arecaceae.
UUUGCGGUUGACGGGAAGGUUUUGCUCUCUCUUCAAGUAAGAUACGAUGCAUGCACGUAGUCGGGCUAGUUCCUUUAAUAUCUGCAAUUGUCCAACAAAUAGCCGUUUGAUGCUCCUUAAGGAUCUGCACAAGCUUUUCUUCUUACGGUGCACUAACUUUAUUGGAGAUGAUCACUGGUAAUGUUCCUCUGUCUCCAAGGAACACGUACUUGAGGUGACUGGGGAGAGGCUUCAAAUCUAUAAUAGGGGCCUGCAAAACAGAGGGUAAAGGCCUUUCAUUAGAAACUGGUAAUGCAAUAUAAGAAACGUUACCUGACUGCUGUAACUUUGAAAAAUUAUUCAAUGCUGCAAUAAUUUUCUGCAAAU